AAGAUCAUUAAAGAGCUGCUAACUCUUAAAUAAUGUUAAACAUUUGAUCUUU
Molecule: transfer RNA, 52 nt
Filed under: Alectorobius rudis
Lineage: Eukaryota; Metazoa; Arthropoda; Arachnida; Ixodida; Argasidae
Description: tRNA-Ser
Source: RNAcentral